GAUGAAGAACGUAGCGAACUGCGAUAAGUAAUGUGAAUUGCAGAAUUCAGUGAAUCAUCGAAUCUUUGAACGCACAUUGCGCCCCUUGGUAUUCCGAGGGGCAUGCCUGUUCGAGCGUCAUUAUAACCCUCAAGCUCAGCUUGGUGUUGGGGCCUGCUGCACUGGCAGCCCUUAAAAUCAGUGGCGGCGCCAUCUGGCUCUAAGCGUAGUAAUUCUUCUCGCUAUGGAGUCCUGGUGGAUGCUUGCCAUCAACCCCCAAUUUUUCUAUGGUUGACCUCGGAUCAGGUAGGGAUACCCGCUGAACUUAAGCAUAUCAAUAAGCGGAGGA
Molecule: unclassified non-coding RNA, 328 nt
Filed under: soil metagenome
Description: partial contains 5.8S ribosomal RNA, internal transcribed spacer 2, and large subunit ribosomal RNA
Rfam family: 5.8S ribosomal RNA (bases 1-120)
Source: RNAcentral